RNAcentral lists this long non-coding RNA (833 nucleotides) under Mus musculus (house mouse). Its description in RNAcentral is "long non-coding RNA chr11:80111570-80112403". Lineage: Eukaryota; Metazoa; Chordata; Mammalia; Rodentia; Muridae. The record is from RNAcentral.
GGUUGGUAGAACUUGUAAAGGAAUUAAGACAUAGUUUAUAAACUUAGUUUUGCUAUUUAGACUAAAAUUUAUUUAGAAACUAAAAAUACAUGGAAAGUCUUUUUGGAAAAUAAUUUCAAGUAAAAACAUUCUCUUCUUUCUUUUAUUUAUUUAUUUAUUAAAUAAUUUCAAGUAAAAACAUUCUCUUAUUUCUUUCUUUCUUUCUUCCUUCUUUCCUUCCAUUUAUUUAUUUAUUUAUUUAUUUAUUUAUUUAUUUAUUUAGGUUUUUCAAGACUGGGUUUCACUGUGUAGCUCUGGAUGUCCUGGAACUCACUCUGUAGACCGAGCUGGCCUUUAGCUCAGAGAUUGGUGUGCUUCUGUCCCCCUCCCCCCUCUAAAUGUUGGGAUUAAAGGUGUGAGCCAGCCACCACCAGCUAGCUUUUUAAAAUUUCUAUUCAUUAGAGCUUACACUAUUGAAACUGUCUCAUAAAACUUUCAGAUAAGAUUAUAUCUGCUGGUCAUGUGGCACCUGUAAUCCCAGCAGUCUAGAGAUGGAUGCAGGAAGACCAGGAGUUAAAUGCCAAUUUGAACUACAAAGUUCAAAGGCUAGACUGGGCUGCAUGAUACGCUUCUUUUUCUUUUUGUUUUUUGUUUGUUUGUUUGAGAUAGGGUUUCUUUUUGUAGCCUUUACUGCCCUAGAACUAUCUCUGUAGACUGGGCUGGCCUCAGACUCACAAAAUUGCCUUUCCAGGGCUAGGUGUCAUGAUAUACUGUAAUCCCAGUACAUGGGAGGCCAGGGAAGAGAAUACUGUGAAUUCAAGGUCAGUCUAGGCAACAUAGCCAAACCCUGUCUC